Molecule: long non-coding RNA, 561 nt
Organism: Homo sapiens (human)
Lineage: Eukaryota; Metazoa; Chordata; Mammalia; Primates; Hominidae
Product: long intergenic non-protein coding RNA 1608
Source: Ensembl
UUUCUUUUUCUGCAUCCGCUGCUCUGUUAAGUGAUCACCACAUUCAUUGUUCUCGUUUCUAUUAUUUCUGAAAAAAAUCUUCAGGAUUCUGCUUGUGGGAGUGGAUGACAUUUUUACAGUGUUUACAGGCUGAAAAUUUUUCGAGCUUUUAUGCUCUGCUUCCGUUAUAAGGAGGAGGCCUCACAAUCCUGGUGGAAGGCAAGGAGGAGCAAGUCACAUCUUAUGUGGAUGGCAGCAGGCAAAGAAAGCUUAUGCAGACACAAAAUGAACAAGAUGUCUGUGGCAACCCUCAGACCAUUGACGCCUUCUCUCCUAUGUAUCAAAUCACACAUUUGGACGUUGACUGAACCCUCACAUGUCAGAUGCUCAAUAUUGAGGUAUAGUAAAAGGGAGCAUGAACUUGAGAAAAUACGCUUUCAACACAAAGCUGUAAUAAUAUAAGGUCAAAUAAGAUUCUGCAUUGGAGAUAGAAAACUCUGAAGGAAGCUUUAUCUAUUCCAGAAUGUCAUAUAGCUGGUAUAAGGUUCAGGGGGCCCAUGUACAGGUUUGUUACAUGGGUGU